Molecule: microRNA, 22 nt
Filed under: Monodelphis domestica (gray short-tailed opossum)
Lineage: Eukaryota; Metazoa; Chordata; Mammalia; Didelphimorphia; Didelphidae
Description: mdo-miR-7357-5p
Source: miRBase by way of RNAcentral
GAUGGAGUGUGCCAGGCUGAGC